GGGUGCUUAGCUCAGUUGGGAGAGCGCUUGCCUUACAAGCAAGUGGUCAGCGGUUCAAGUCCGUUAGCACCCACCA
Molecule: transfer RNA, 76 nt
Filed under: Candidatus Cloacimonadota bacterium
Lineage: Bacteria; Pseudomonadati; Candidatus Cloacimonadota
Description: tRNA-Val
Rfam family: tRNA
About the family: Transfer RNA (tRNA) molecules are approximately 80 nucleotides in length.
Source: RNAcentral